UAAUAAACUAACAUAUUAUUAUUUUAAAACUAUAAUUACUCUUAUUCAUAUUAUUUCUGUCUAGCUGUCCAAACACUAUUUUUCUUAUUUUUCAAAAAUAAUCUAAUUUUUAUUCAAACCCAAAAUUGAUCUAAUUACUGUUUAUCCUAGGAGUUGUAUUUAUGCCAGUAAUAACCAAGAACAAUUUAUUCCCGAAUCAAAUGAUAUCUAAGAUAAAAGAAAUGAAAAAUAU
This 232-nucleotide long non-coding RNA is filed under the name Ananas comosus (pineapple). RNAcentral describes it as "long non-coding RNA (ACOM_LNC028859)". The record is from RNAcentral. Lineage: Eukaryota; Viridiplantae; Streptophyta; Magnoliopsida; Poales; Bromeliaceae.